This 292-nucleotide ribosomal RNA is filed under the name uncultured bacterium. RNAcentral's name for it is "partial 16S ribosomal RNA". It matches the Rfam family "Archaeal small subunit ribosomal RNA", at positions 455 to 747 of the family's 1478-position model. The record is from RNAcentral.
GUGCCAGCCGCCGCGGUAAUACCGGCAGCCCGAGUGAUGGCCGAUCUUAUUGGGCCUAAAGCGUCCGUAGCUGGCCGCGCAAGUCCAUCGGGAAAUCCACCCGCCCAACGGGUGGCCGUCCGGUGGAAACUGCACAGCUUGGGACCGGAAGGCUCGAAGGGUACGUGCGGGGUAGGAGUGAAAUCCCAUAAUCCCGCACGGACCACCGAUGGCGAAAGCACUUCGAGAAAACGGAUCCGACAGUGAGGGACGAAAGCCAGGGUCUCCAACCGGAUUAGAUACCCGGGUGUCC